GAAUCCGCUAAGGAGUGUGUAAUAACUUACCUGCCGAAUGAAUUAGCCCUGAAAAUGGAUGGCGCUCAAGCGGGCAGCCGACACCACACCGUUUGUUUUAUAUAUAACAGAUGAGUAGGAGGGCGUGGUGGCCGUAUCGAAGCAUGCGUGCGAACGCUUGUGGAACGGCCACUAGUGCAGAUCUUGGUGGUAGUAGCAAAUAUUCAAGCGAGAUCCUUGAAGGGCGAAGCGGGGAAGGGUUCCACGCGAACAUUGAUUGGGCGUGGGUGAGUCGUUCCUAAGCCGAGUGGCCAUUGCUAAUUAUAGGCGAAAGGGAAGCGGGUUGAAAUUCCCGCACACGGAUGUGGAGGCGGUGACGCACAUUGAGACGAAAACAUCGGCGAUGGCGCUGGGCAGAGAUGUCUUUUCUGUUUAAUCAUUAUCAUGCUGUGUGGAAUCCGCUUGUCGGGAGAAACACGCAUGAAAGGUAAGAGCGCCGGGGCUUUUCCGGCGUCCAGCUCGCCAACGACGGUCCUUGAAAAUUUGUCUAAUGAUCAGAUCCACGCCGUGGCGUACCGAUAACCGCAUCAGGUCCCCAAGGUGAACAGCCUCUGUCCAGUAUGAAUAAUGCAGGUAAGGGAAGUCGGCA
This 628-nucleotide ribosomal RNA is filed under the name Champia parvula. RNAcentral describes it as "eukaryotic LSU rRNA". It matches the Rfam family "Eukaryotic large subunit ribosomal RNA", at positions 1264 to 1919 of the family's 3401-position model. The record is from RNAcentral. Lineage: Eukaryota; Rhodophyta; Florideophyceae; Rhodymeniales; Champiaceae.